GGGGAUAUAGCUCAGUGGUAGAGCAUUUGCCUGGUAUGCAUGAGAGACUGGUUUGAAUCCUUAGUAUUG
RNAcentral lists this transfer RNA (69 nucleotides) under Cricetulus griseus (Chinese hamster). It matches the Rfam family "tRNA". From Rfam's summary of the family: Transfer RNA (tRNA) molecules are approximately 80 nucleotides in length. Their secondary structure includes four short double-helical elements and three loops (D, anti-codon, and T loops). Further hydrogen bonds mediate the characteristic L-shaped molecular structure. tRNAs have two regions of fundamental functional importance: the anti-codon, which is responsible for specific mRNA codon recognition, and the 3' end, to which the tRNAs corresponding amino acid is attached (by aminoacyl-tRNA synthetases). tRNAs cope with the degeneracy of the genetic code in two manners: having more than one tRNA (with a specific anti-codon) for a particular amino acid; and 'wobble' base-pairing, i.e. permitting non-standard base-pairing at the 3rd anti-codon position. The record is from Rfam by way of RNAcentral. Lineage: Eukaryota; Metazoa; Chordata; Mammalia; Rodentia; Cricetidae.